AAUGGUUUAGUUGUUAAAGGAGUAUCAGUAACAGUUGGUGGUACAACCUUUGCUUCAGUGUCAAAUAUUUCCUUCUGUGAUAAAGGAACCUGUUUUGUUGGCGGUGCAGCCACUGGUUCAGAUAGUUUUGUUUCACUACUAGCUACUCCCUUUUUGGGGUCAAGCCUUGAGUAAUGUUGGACGCUAUAAACAAGAACCUCAGCUUCAACUAUAAGGGUAUCGGCCAAAAGAUACCCUUCUGCAGGAUUUUU
This 251-nucleotide unclassified non-coding RNA is filed under the name Hevea brasiliensis (rubber tree). Lineage: Eukaryota; Viridiplantae; Streptophyta; Magnoliopsida; Malpighiales; Euphorbiaceae. The record is from RNAcentral.